GCAAGCACCUUCCUAUGUAUUUGCCUGGCAUUGAUGAAGAAUACACCUCCAACUAGACAAUGCAUAUCUGUGCUGAGAAUUGGUUUUUGGCAGCAAAGGGCAGGAGGAGAAAACAUAGCAAAAACGUAUGUGGGAAGCAGACACAUUUUGUAAAGAUUUUCUUUGAGCACUUCCAAGCAAAUAUUUCCAGGGACACCCAAAAAUAAGAUGGGAAAAAAUAGAACUGCCUCAAAACCAAAAGAAAGAAUUUCCUAGUCCCCAAACACACAUUCUUCCUGAUGUGAAUCAACAGGAAUCAGAAAUCACUACUCCAGAUCAACAGCUCAGGGGACUGCUCCUUCUUUGACACCACAUAUGAAUACCUUGGAAAUCUGUGCUGCUGCUUUUCCAGCUCCUCCCUGGUGAGUCCCGUGGCUCCACUUCAGAGCAGAUUUGCCUGAACAUCCCUGGCCUCUUGCUUGCAGAGGAGCCUCCUGAAAAGGAGUCUGGUUAUUGUUGCAGUCAUUGUGAGUACUGAAGUGUGCUCACUGGCCUCUUCCAGACUGAACCUAGAUAAAAACCAUUUUCACUCGAGCAUGCACAGUCUGUCCCCAGUACUGCACUUGGGCAAUGGAAAACCAGGAGCCCCUGCAGCACGGUGUGCCAAAUAGAGCAGCUCUCUGCAGCCACUCAGGGAAACUGCACAAGUAAGUUACUCCAUUAAAUCUGAUGGAGACAAAAGACAGGAAGGACAGAAAGACUGAUAGAAAUGAGCUUGUCUGCCAGCCUCCCUUCCAAGAAUGCUGCCUUGCCUUGCGGCACUGGUGGGAAGAGAGGUGGCAAGACUUAUCUGCCAGCAAAAGUUUCUUUGAAGAGAUUUCACAUUGCUCACGGUUAUUGAUUUGAUAUUCAAAAUGAAAAAAAUAUGUUUUGAUUUCUGCCAAAAUAAGGCUGUUCUCUUUAUUCUGGCUUUAUUUAUGCUUUAUUUAUGCCCCCCCUCCUUCUCUCCUCUUAAACAAUACAGUGGAUCACAUAAAGAUGUAAAAGAACAGGGAGUUUAGUGGGUGGGAGGUGAUCAAUUUUUAGUCUAUUAAAAAGUUUGAAAUUGAAAUUGUUGUGAUUUGGAGGGAAAAUGGAGGCACAAUUUCACUCCCUUCAAAGUGUCUUGUCAAAAAGUCAGUCUUCUCCUCCCAGCUGAUUCUAAUUCUGUAAGCCAGUGAGAUGAGAUAAAUCUCCUUUGUCUACAGAGAAGAAUGACAUCAGACAAAGCAAAGCCCAUGGCUCUAAUUAGUCCUUCUGACAAGGCAGAAAUCAACACAACACAACAGCAGCUUGCGGUUGGACACGCUCCUUAGAUCAUUUCACAAUCAAAGCAACUGCUAAUAUGUGAGUGUAACAUGGGAGUGCGCGAGGGUUGUCCCUGGGUUGUGAUAUGCUGUUCUUUCCUCUCUACCUUUAGGCACCUCAUUGUCUGUGCUCACUCCCAAUUCUGUAACGGGUAAUCCUUCUGCUGGAAACCUUCAAGGGAAAUAGCCGUUAUGUAUUAUGAUAGCACAAGUUUAAGUGAUCAUUAAACAGUAGGAGUUACUAUUUGAAAUCUAUAUCCUCACUAACCAGACCAUUCUGUUUCACCCUGGGUGAAAUCCACCCCUGAGGAGAACAAGGGCAAAGCAUAAUUUAAGCUCCACUAAACCCUCAAGAAAUAACUUCACCGAUUCUGAACACAUCAAUCACAUUUUUUUUUUUUAAAUGGAACAUAAAACCUAACAAAUUUUAACAAGGCUCCCACCAGUAUCAAUUCCCUCUAAUAGCAUAAAGCCUGUACAUCUCUGCUGAUAGUGAGCUCUAAAAUGUAUUGCGAACAGAACAAAAAUAGAAAACUAAACAAAUUCUGAAGUAUUAAAAUAAUAAGAACACAAAAUUCUUGCAUUUGUAGCUAGCAGGGAUUUUGAAAGGAGACUGAUAGCAUCAUCCCUGGUUUAGAGAUGAGGAACAGAACUGCAGUAUGGUUUUCCCAAAGUCAUGUGGGAGGUCAGUGGCUGAACUGACUGCUGAGCCCUCAUCUACUACUAUCCCAGUCCCCAGGCAUGUGUUUGCCUGCAUGUGUGCAUGCUUCAGGCUCCUAGAGAAGUUACCAAAGCAGGUUAGUAAGGGGUAGCAAGCUACUGCAUAUCUAAUUGUCAGAGAAAAAUGGAAAAAUGAUAUUCAGAAGCAUCCCACAAUUGUCUUCUUCUCUGCAGCCAAGGAGAUCUCCGUUGAUUUAGCAGAGCAGUUGAUUAGCUGCUCUGUCUUGUUGGUGAAGGGAAGCAUAGGCUGGGCCACAAAUUAAUAUCUGUGAAUUUAUCAAAGUAAUCUGGUUGCCUAGAGGCCAGGAGCCAGAGGCAUAUGUAAAUCUCUGAAAACAUUGUGACAGACAUGCAGCCCAAAUUUUGGGACUUUGACAAUUUCAGAUUGUGAGUACUGGUUGAAUACUAGCUGAUACUGAAGAAGCGUGGGAAGCUUUAGAUGCUUUGCCAGCUGACUUCACUUGCUGUCUUUGUGUGUAGUCAGUGAUGAGAGACAGCCUCCUCCAAAUCCUUGUCUGGGUGAGCCGGGCUUUCAUCUAUGGCUGCAGGAGGAAUCAGGGAAAGGCUGAGUACCUACAUGAGCCAGGGCAGGCAGGCUGAGCACCCUACCAUGGCUUCUGAGAGGACGAGCAGCAGAUCUCCAGGAGACCAGGGGCUUGGUUUUUGGGUAGAGGUCUCUGUUUAUGUAGACUUGGCAGGCUGCAAAACCUGAAUCCAUCCUAGGUUACAAUUUGCUUCUGUGCAUCUGAGCAGUAGGGGCUAAGUGGAUGCAGAGCAGUCCUUAAUUUCUUUUACCCCUUAAUUUCUUUCUUGUUAGGGCAGUGGCCUGACACUAUUUCUCUGACCAGCAGUUAGGCUCCUUCUGGCUAGAAAGACCAAUCUUUAAUGUCAAGAAAUUGAAUUUAUGCCUCUCUCAGGCUAAUUUUAGAAUUCAAUUAUGAUCAAGAAAAGAUCUCGAAAGAAAAAUAACAAUAAAAAUUCACUCCAGAUACCUCAAAGCAGAUACACAAACAGCAACCAAAAGAGUCUUGGCUUAACUGGGGAAAAAACAGUUUAUCUUGAUUUGCCUCAUGUGAGAACUUAGAGAGAAGAAUGAAAAAUACUUGCAAAAAGUAGGAAACUUUGUUUCUUCUUCAAGAUGUAGUAAUUCUGACAAGUACAUUGAAAAUAUAUCAGAGAAGAUCUUACUGUCCCCAGAUGGAGUAAGACUGAAAUUGGCAAAUGGUACAUUAACAUAUUUCUGCUUACAUUCCAGCCUUCCCACAAAAGGAAAUGUUAUGGGGAAUUAAUUUGUGUAGUUUACAAGCUUCCUGGGUUUUGCUUGGAGUUCAAGACAAUGAAGAACCUCUGCAUCUGAGACAGAAUCC
This is a long non-coding RNA of Oxyura jamaicensis (ruddy duck), 3412 nucleotides long. RefSeq lists it as uncharacterized. The record is from RefSeq and is a predicted model, not a curated record. NCBI's taxonomy places the organism in Eukaryota, Metazoa, Chordata, Aves, Anseriformes, Anatidae. The transcript is spliced from 2 exons.